AUAUAAAAUAAACAACAACUAGAUUUUAACCCGCGGUAUACCGCGGGACGAUUUAUUUUUUAAAAGUAAUAUAUAUUAAAAUUUGCAAAUUUUAUUUUUAUAAAAUAUUUAUAUUUUACACUUUAUAAUUGUUAUUAAGUAAGACUAUACCACGAAUCUAUGAGACAAUUGUUAAAAAACUGAAGUUGUAACCUCUAUUAAAACAGCAUAUUAAUAAUAUUUUAAAAUUUUAUAAAUAUUGAUUCAAAUACAUCCACCAUAUAACCCAAUUCCAAAAUAAAACCCGUUCUAUAAUUUCUUUACCCCUCCCGUGAUUUUUUUUUUUAAAGUAGUAAUUUUUAAAAUUUAAGAAUUAUUUUUUAUAGAUAAAAGUUUUGCAAAUUAUAUCAUUCUCUAAUACAUUUAUAUUUUAUAUAUAGUAACAUUAUACAUACCACAUAACAUUUUUGGUUUUAUAUAAUCUUUUCUAAAUUAGGAUGAUUUGAUAUGUUUAAUAUUAGUGGUCUUAAAAAAUAAUAAAUUAAAGAUUUAACCCGUAUUGAAACGGUGUAUUAAUUAUAUUUUACUUUUUUAUUAAUGUUGAUUCAAAAACCCGUCACUCCAAAUCCGUCUUGCCAAAAAGCCAUUUAUUUUAUUAAUAUUAAUUUUAUUAAUGAUAUGACUCUGAAUUAUAAUCUAAACAUUUUAGCUAAUAACAUAGGAGUAUACCAUUUUUAUUUAAUAGGGGAAUGUACUAUAUAACCCGAAUGCACUUUUACCCCAAUCCACCAAAAAAGUCUUGCAAAAAUACUAUAGAAAUAAGAAACGAUAGUCGGUUUUGAUAGGUAUAAGAUUAGCAAAUAUAUUAGUUACCUUGAAUUAGUUAAAGAAUACAAAUUGAAAAGGUAUAUUACACUUUAUUCGAAUAUAGUAUCAAAACUUAUAUAACACAGAGAUUUGAUAAAAAAUUUAAUUGUUG
This 958-nucleotide small RNA is filed under the name Arabidopsis thaliana (thale cress). RNAcentral describes it as "ATSL052820". The record is from RNAcentral. Lineage: Eukaryota; Viridiplantae; Streptophyta; Magnoliopsida; Brassicales; Brassicaceae.